This 401-nucleotide ribosomal RNA is filed under the name uncultured bacterium. RNAcentral describes it as "bacterial SSU rRNA". It matches the Rfam family "Bacterial small subunit ribosomal RNA", at positions 356 to 774 of the family's 1533-position model. The record is from RNAcentral.
CGGGAAUUUUGGGCAAUGGGCGAAAGCCUGACCCAGCAACGCCGCGUGAGGGAUGAAGUAUUUCGGUAUGUAAACCUCGAAAGAAUGGGAAGAAUAAAUGACGGUACCAUUUAUAAGCUCCGGCUAACUACGUGCCAGCAGCCGCGGUAAUACGUAGGGAGCAAGCGUUGUUCGGAUUUACUGGGCGUAAAGGGCGCGUAGGCGGUGCGGUAAGUCACUUGUGAAAUCUCUGAGCUUAACUCAGAACGGCCAGGUGAUACUGCUGUGCUAGAGUGCGGAAGAGGCAACCGGAAUUCUUGGUGUAGCGGUGAAAUGCGUAGAUAUCAAGAGGAACACCUGAGGCGAAGGCGGGUUGCUGGGCCGACACUGACGCUGAUGCGCGAAAGCCAGGGGAGCAAACG